GUUUCAGUGCGCUACGCUAUUCACUGUGUUAUUUAGUUGUCAGAAAAUAUGCCGAAAAGCAAAACCUGAAGCGUUUUAAACAAAAACUUUUAAAAUUGUUACAAGAGUCAUCAUCAGAGGAUACAAGUGAAUCACAUACAGACGAAACCUCUUUUUCUUCGAGCUCAUCAGAAAUAGUUAGACGAAGAAAGAGGCAAACGAAGAAGCGAAAACGAUCACGUUCACCCCUACGCAAACGAAAAAUUCAAAGGCGUGUUGUUAUUGAAUCUUCUUUUUCUGACUCUGAAACAGAAGGAGAAAGGGCUUAUGGACAUCGGAAAUCGGACCGAGAAAGCACCCAAUGUUCUAGGUGCUCUGCCAUCUAACAAUAUGGGUUUAGGGCCAUCAUUAGAUGCCGAGAUUGUGACCCGCUGGUCCAGUUAUUUAACUCAAGGGUUUGAUAAGGAUACCCGAGAGUUAUGGACAAAAAUUCCCUUUCCCGAUAAUUGUCCAUUAUUAGAAGCUGCAAAGCCAAAUACAGAAAUAGAAGCUAUACUUUCUAGCUCUAAUUCCAAGAAAGAUUAUAUUUUGGCUAAUAUUCAGAGUAAAUUUGGCAAGGGGCUUACUUAUAUGGGAUAUGCCCUAGAUGAGCUCAUUAAAUCCUUAUCUGAGAAGGAGGAAUAUAAAGAAGUUCUACACAAGCUGGUAGAAUCUUCCCAGAUGUUGUGUGAAGGACAUUAUUUAUUGACUGUGCACAGAAAACAUCAACUUUUUCCAUUUAUAAAAGAUCCAUCAGCGUUAAAGAUUGCCACUGAAUCAAAAUCUGACGAAUGGAUUUUUGGUGAGAGGUCUAAAACAGCUUAAGCAGUCCUUAAAUCGGCAAAAGAGGUAUUAUUGCAAAAACCCUCCUCUAAUAUGAGACCAAGCGCUUCUUAUGGAAAUUUAAACUCCAAGCGCCAAUUACCAAGGACCAGAAUGAAGUUUUCACAACAAGAAAAAUUCAACAGAAGGAACACCAUACAAGAGAAAACCAGGGACGACUACAAACAAAGCCGAUACCAGAAAUUUCAGCGAUACAGACGGAAUUAAAUCAGAAUGAAUCACCCUAUUUGGGACCGCAUUACCCUGGUUGUCGGGAGAUUAUCAGGCAAGCUUAUGAACAACGUAAUAUAAGUGCUGACUGUGUUCCAAUUUAAUUAAGAUCAGUAAGUGAAAAUACGCUAAAGCAAUAUAAUUCUUCAUUUUCUAAGUGAUGGAAUUAUUGUAAAGAUAAAACUAUUAAUAUUUUUAGUCCAUCUCUCAAUAAUUUAUUAGAUUUUUUAAAUUUUGAAUUUUCAAAAGGUUUGUCAUAUCAGACCCUCAACUGUCAUAGAUCGGCAUCAAAAAUGUUGUUUGUAGAAGAUGUAGAAGAUAGGAACAAUAUAAUUAAAAAAUUUUAAAAGGGACAUUUAGAAUUAAACCCGUUUUUCCCAAAUAUAAUGAUACUUGGGAUCCCAGAAAUGUAUUAAAUUAUUUGUCGGGGUUUUUUCCUUUAGGUACCUUAAAUUUCAAGGAUUUAACCUACAAAUUAAUUACGUUAAUGGCCUUGGUAACAUCGCAGAGAAUUUAAAUUUUUAGUCUAAUAAAAUUAACAGAUAGUUUAAGAUAGUUUAUAGAUUAAUAAGGAUGAUGAUUCUAUAACAAUUGUUACUCAAGCCUUUUUAAAAUCAUCAGCCCCCAAUCGACCACAACCAGUAUUAAAAAUUCCGUUCUUUAAAGAAAAACCUGAAUUGUGUAUUGCUUUAACUUUAGAAGAGUAUAUUAAAGGCACAGAGAUAUUAAGAGGUUAGGUUGAGGAACUUUUCAUUACACAUAAAAGACCUUAUCACCAAGCCACAACUCAAACCCUGUCAUGUUGGAUUAAAACUAUUUUAAAAGAGUCUGGUAUAGACACCACUCGCUAUUCUGCCUAUAGUACUAGGCAUGCAUCCACUUCAGCAGCUUUUCAGAAAGGUAUAGAUAUUGAAUCUAUAAGAAAGGCUGCUGGAUGGUCCCCAAAUUCAAAUAUGUUUGCCCGUUUUUACUGUAGGCCUUUAAUAGAUAAAAAUGCUUAUGCAAAAGCAAUUAUCUAUAAUAAAUAGCUUAUAAAUUUAUAUUAUAUAGAGUAAGUAAUGGAGU
This 2136-nucleotide long non-coding RNA is filed under the name Anthonomus grandis grandis. RNAcentral describes it as "uncharacterized LOC126734561". Lineage: Eukaryota; Metazoa; Arthropoda; Insecta; Coleoptera; Curculionidae. The record is from RNAcentral.